GCUGCUAUGGCGCAGUUGGGAGCGCGUAAGACUGAAGAUCUUAAGGUCACUGGUUCGAUCCCGGUUGGCGGCA
This is a non-coding RNA of Tribonema minus, 73 nucleotides long. NCBI's taxonomy places the organism in Eukaryota, Xanthophyceae, Tribonematales, Tribonemataceae. The record is from the annotation of a GenBank genome assembly.